GUGUUUGCUUCAGUAGCACAGAUACUAAAAUUAGCACAAUGCAGAGAUUAAUAUGACCCUAUGCAAGGAUGAAGUGCAAAUUCAUGAAGCAUCCCAUACUUUU
Small nuclear RNA from Jaculus jaculus (lesser Egyptian jerboa), 103 nucleotides. Lineage: Eukaryota; Metazoa; Chordata; Mammalia; Rodentia; Dipodidae. The record is from Ensembl.